RNAcentral lists this ribosomal RNA (113 nucleotides) under uncultured bacterium. RNAcentral describes it as "partial 16S rRNA". The record is from RNAcentral.
AGCAGCAUGCGGUGAAGAUGAUGCCUCUGGUUGUAACUUCUUUUAUAGGGGAAGAAAGAUACUUUUUUUAAGGUAGUUGACGGUACCCUAUGAAUAAGCACCGGCUAACUCCG